UCUCAUCCAGGAUGAUGCAGUUUGACAAUUUCCAUGGAGGUGAUUGAUGAUGAUAAAUAAUUGGUGAAGUAGGCCUAAUAGAACAGUGACUGGACCACAAAGAGAAAUACAAACUACAGCAGUUAUAUGAGACUGGUGUAACAGAUGUUUUCAUUCAAGAAAUCCAAA
This is a long non-coding RNA of Lytechinus variegatus (green sea urchin), 168 nucleotides long. RefSeq lists it as uncharacterized. Lineage: Eukaryota; Metazoa; Echinodermata; Echinoidea; Temnopleuroida; Toxopneustidae. The transcript has 3 exons. The record is from RefSeq and is a predicted model, not a curated record.